AACGAACGCUGGCGGCAUGCCUAACACAUGCAAGUCGAACGAGACCUUCGGGUCUAGUGGCGCACGGGUGCGUAACGCGUGGGAACCUGCCCUUAGGUUCGGAAUAACUCCCCGAAAGGGGUGCUAAUACCGGAUAAUGUCUUCGGACCAAAGAUUUAUCGCCUUUGGAUGGGCCCGCGUUGGAUUAGCUAGUUGGUAGGGUAAAAGCCUACCAAGGCGACGAUCCAUAGCUGGUCUGAGAGGAUGAUAAGCCACACUGGGACUGAGACACGGCCCAGACUCCUACGGGAGGCAGCAGUGGGGAAUAUUGGACAAUGGGCGAAAGCCUGAUAAAGCAAUGCCGCGUGAGUGAUGAAGGCCUUAGGGUUGUAAAGCUCUUUUACCCGGGAUGAUAAUGACAGUACCGGGAGAAUAAGCUCCGGCUAACUCCGUG
This 433-nucleotide ribosomal RNA is filed under the name uncultured bacterium. RNAcentral's name for it is "partial 16S ribosomal RNA". It matches the Rfam family "Bacterial small subunit ribosomal RNA", at positions 29 to 507 of the family's 1533-position model. The record is from RNAcentral.